Molecule: small nuclear RNA, 108 nt
Organism: Prolemur simus (greater bamboo lemur)
Lineage: Eukaryota; Metazoa; Chordata; Mammalia; Primates; Lemuridae
Source: Ensembl
GUGCUCGCUUUGGCAGUACAUAUACAAAAAUUCGAACGAUACAGAGAAGAUUAGCAUGGCCCCUGCGCAAGGAUGACACUUUUGGGGAAAAAAAAAAACCCCACAAGG